This 2754-nucleotide unclassified non-coding RNA is filed under the name Monomorium pharaonis (pharaoh ant). Its description in RNAcentral is "uncharacterized LOC118646392, transcript variant X2". Lineage: Eukaryota; Metazoa; Arthropoda; Insecta; Hymenoptera; Formicidae. The record is from RNAcentral.
UUUUGUUUAACAAAACACCUCCCACCAUUAUUUUUUUUAAAUUAAAAAAAAUUUUUUUGCUAUAUUAAAGGAUUUCUUUUUUCUAAAUUCAACCAUGUAUAUUACAGUUAUGUUACGAAAUAUCUUUUUUGAGAAUUAAUUAUAAAGAUUUCCGUAUAUAAGCUAUCCGUGCUCAUAUGCGCUUUGUAUUAUAAUUUAAAAACAAUUUAACAAAUUGCACAUACAUUUUAAUUGAAAACACGUGAUUUAUACUUAUCUUGAAUAUACAUGUAAGUCUAAUAAGAGAUAAAAAUUAAUUAAAUUGAAAACAUAUUAAUUGAAAACAUUUAAUUCAUCACGUUCUUGAUAUGAGGGAUACGUGACUUUUAGUUCAUUAUAUAUAUAAAAGAAAACGUACAAAAAUUAUUGCUAUAUAUAUAUAAUAAACUAAAAGUCACGUAUCCCUCAUAUCAAGAACGUGAUGAAUUACAUGUUUCAAUUAAAAUGUUUUCAUCAAAUAUAAUUAAUCUUUAUCUCUUAUUAGGCUAACGUGUACACUCAAGAUAAGUAUAAAUUGACAGUAUAAAUAUAGUCAUGUAGCAGUCUUACGUUCAAUCAGUGCAAUCGUUUUGUAAUAAUCAUAUGUGUGCAAUUCGUUAAAUUGAUUUUAAAUUAUAAUACAAAGCAAAGUUUAACAUCUUUACAAAUGAUUCUCAAUCCGCUUAAUGUUGUUAGACUUUUAUUGGCAUCUAUAAGUUCAAUAUAUCUAACAAAAACGCCAGUAACUGAAGCAGAAAUACAAUUAAAAGAAGACAUACAAAAAUUAUUGCUAGAUAGCAUUUUUCACUAUAAUGGAUUGGAAGUGAUGGAAGAAACCUACCUCGAUUAUCAAGAACCUUAUAAAUUACACAGUUUCGAAAUAAUUGAAGAUGACAAAGAAGCAUGGAGUGAAGAUAAUUUAAAUUCUCAUCUACAGUGUUCAAACAGUGAAGUAAAUUUUGACAGUACUUAUAAAAGACGAGCUGUUGAAUAUUGGCGGAAUUUAGACGAUAAUAAAGAAAUUAACCACAAAAAAAGGCAUCGUUCUCUAAAAUCAGUACAAAGUAAAUUUAAAAGAGUUUCAUCUAAACGUCAGUUAAGACGAUGGGAAGAACAACUACAAUCAACUGGAAAUCGUUUGGAAAAAUUAUCUUAUAUCUCCAAAUUUACACAUGAUAAAUUUACUGCAGCUAUUGAAUCAGGAUUUAUGGUUCAUGAUAUCGAUUUAAAAAGAUGGGCUUUACAAGCUCAAGAAGAAAUAGGAAAUGUAAUUCCUAUAUUUAAAGCAUCUCACAGCUGGAUAUCAAGAUUCAAAAAAUCCCAUCGAAUUGUUUCAAGAAAAGUUACGAAGUUUGUAACUAAAAGAACAGUGGAAGAUUCUAUUGAUUUACAAAACUCAGCAAAUAAUUUUUUAAAAACAGUGAAACCACUUAUUGAACAGUUUGGAGCAGAAAAUGUUUAUAAUUCUGAUCAAAGUGGUUUUUAAUUAGAAAUACAUUUUGGAAGAUCAUUGUCUCCUAAAGGAAUAAAAAAAGUAGGGCGUAUCGUACAAUCUGUGUCAUCAACAACCCAUUCAUACACGAUACAACCAAUAAUAUCAUGUAAUGGUAAUUUGCUGUCACCUUUAUUUAUUGUUUUGAAAGAAGCUAACGGCGAAUUUGGACCGAGAGUACAAGAAACUUUAUUUAAACUAACAAAUGUUAUUGUAAAAGCAUCGAAAUCUGGUAAAAUGACAUCAGAUCAUUUUAAAAUGUGGUUAGAAGCUUAUUUUUCAAACAUUGGUUCUAAUAGCGUUCUUCUUAUCGAUUCAUGGACCGGACAUUGUCCCAAUAUCAUUUCGGAUUUAACACCUCUAGAUAAACAUAUUACUACCAUGAUUAUACCGAAAGGUACUACAGGAAAAAUACAACCAUUAGAUGUUUACGGAUUUAGAAUUUGGAAAAAUUUUGCUAAAAGAUUUUCAGAUAUAGUUUUAUUAUUGGAAUGUGAUAUAAAUUUGCAUGAACGAAAUAAUAUAAUAAAAUUGCAAUCUUUGAUACAUAAUCAAUUGUCAUCCCCGCGAUAUCGUAACUUAUUUAAAUAUUCGUGGUUUAAAAGUGGUUAUACGAACGAAAGACUACAGGAAUUUAAAAAUCCAGUAGAAUUUAGUUUGGAUGAUACUUCAACAACAUGUGAUGUCGAAGGUUGCAAUAAUGUAGCUAUAGUAAAAUGUUCAUGGUGCAAAAAAUCAUUAUGUUUAAAACAUUUCUUCGUUGAGUAUCAUUAUUGCAAUGAGUAUAAUGAGUAAAUGAUACAAUACAAAAUGUAUAAAUUUAUUGUAUAAAUAUUUAAAAACUAUUUUAUUAAUACAUAUUUAGAAAUGAUUGUGAUGAUGUAAAUCACAAUUUUAUUAUGUAAAUAAACAAAAUAUAAAAGCAUAAGACCAAAAAUAGCUUUAAGAAAAUAAUCACAAGAUAUAAAGAAAUAAUGUACAGAAAUUAGUAAAAUAAAAAAAUUUACUAAUUUUAAAGAAAAGUAAUAAAAACCAUUAUAAUUCUUAAUAUUAUUUAUAAUUUAUAAUUUGUGAUGCUAGAAUCAAUUAUAUAGAUUUCUAUUAUAUAUCUUAUCAAAAUUGUGUAUAAUCUUGUUUAGACGAUAAUUAUUUGCGUACAUGAGCACGGAUAGCUUAUAUACGGAAAUCUUUAUAAUUAAUUCUCAAAAAUGAUAUUUCGUAACAUAACUUUAAUAUACAUGGUU